This 2915-nucleotide long non-coding RNA is filed under the name Bemisia tabaci. Its description in RNAcentral is "lncRNA ENSSSA1NGG014199". The record is from RNAcentral. Lineage: Eukaryota; Metazoa; Arthropoda; Insecta; Hemiptera; Aleyrodidae.
UUUAAAAAUGAGAUUCAAAUUAGGCAAUGAUUAUUGUUUCAGGAAAAAUGACAAAGUAGACAGGACGCACAAAGACCGGCUGGAUUCGAGUGAGACUGAAGAAAAAGCAUGGGGAAGUUGAAGGCCGGAAAUGCGGGAAAUGCAUGGAAACCAUAUUUGUUUAUGUAGAGAUUCUAACCUCCUAAGCUGGAAUUAAAAUCAGCGUUUAUCAAACGAUGACCUCAACGGGCUUCAACGUUGAGUUACCAAUUUAGAUUUCAUGUAAAUUAGAGCCAUCACGGCUAAUCGAUGAACGACUGAUUCUCAUCUGACGCAACACAACUGUCAAAAGCUUGAUGAAUGAAUUUGACCGAUUUUAUGUUCGUAGUUAUUUGACCGAAGGCUCCUGCAUCGCGGUAUCCAUACGUUUUCAGCUUUGUUUAAUUGUUUUUGUCAUUCAAGUCCAUUGAUUGAACUUCGUGAAUUACUCUGUACGUCUUUUACCGAGUUUAUCAUUCUAGUUUCGCCUGUUGACGUUAUUCGCAGUUCAGCUCGUGACAACAAGUUCCGUAUUAGUCCCGCCUGUCAUCUCUGCAAGCCCGGUCUUGAAUCCAUUUGUUUCAGGUUCAACAUACUGUUGGCAUGUUUCUACAAGCGCCUUUUUCUCUUUGCGGGAGGGGUGAAUGAUCAAAUGAAACAAGUCCUCCUCUAGCAUUUACCAAAUUAGAUCAGCAAUGGAUUUUUCAAUUGAUUUUCACGGCGAUAGUGAACUUGCGGCCAAACAGCUUGACCCAGUAAACGAGGAUUUAUUUAAUAAUGAUUCAAUAGUAGAGAAAGAACUCCAAGAAGCAAUGGAAUCCUUGGCAGAUGGCACUAAUGCUGUUGCAGAUCCUAUUGUCGAUGAUGUCAUUUCUUCGAUUCCCCUCCCUAAUGGAACUGACGGUCUUGAAGAUAUUCUUUCCGAUGAAGACUAUGGAGUUGAACCAGAAGAGACAGGCAAAUUCUCCGGUGAGGCAGUAGCCUCUGAGGCAGCUGAAGCCCCUGAAGAAACUGGAACCCCUGAGGAAGCUGUCGUUGAGGGUUAUGAGGAGAAUGUCCCAGAAGAAGGUACUGCACAGAACGAUAGUAGAACUGAUGAAGCUCUAGAGCCUGAACAGGAGGUACACUCAGAGGAAAAGGCGGAAGACGAAAAGAGCAAUCUUCCAGAAGAUUCUAUGCAAAAAGAGCCCAUAGGAGAGUCAGAGACGGAAGUGGCAAAUGAACCCUCACCUAAAAAAUCUCCAAGAAGCAAAAAACCAAAGGCAGACAAGUCUGCAGAUGAAAGCCAUGAAGAAUCACCCCUGAAAGUUUCACCAAGAGCCCGAAAAAAGCCAGGUGAGUCUGACCGCGAACAAACGGAUGAUGAUUCUAAAUCUGAAUCAACCUCACCAAAGAGAGUCACUUCUAAAAGUAAGAAAAGAAAUGUUCAGCAGUCAGGAGAUGAAAGCAGCAUAGAAUCACCGCAAAAAGUUUCGCCAAGAGCCCGGAAAAAACCAGUUAAGUUCGCCAACGUCAAUGAGUCUGGAGAAGAGAGCAGUGAGCAGUCACCGCAGAAAGUCUCUCAGCGGGUGCGAAAAAAACCUGAAAAGCUGGAGUAUGAGGAUAGCUCCAAGAAAAGCUCUAGAGAAUCAGACAGUCCUGCAAAGAGGGGGAGAAUGAGAAAGGAAAUACCCUCCGAGUCGGAUAAGGUUAGCUCUGACUCAGAUGUGCCACUGUCGAGAAAGAAGAAACGGGCAUUGUCUGGCAGUGACAGAGAAUCUGUGUCUAGUUCUAAAACAAGCUCUACGCUUAAAAGCAGAAAUGAAAAGAGGAAAAGGACCAGUGGCAGUGAAACAGAUGAUACCACCCAUUCACCAGUCAAAAAGUCGAGCAGAUUGUCUAACGGUCGCACUCGGGAAAGUAGUAGUCCGAUACAAUUUUUGUCUCCAGAAGAAGCCCUUGAAGUCUCACCUGUCGUUCAACUCGGUCCAAAAGUUGAAGGCGCAGGUGCUUCGUCCAAUGAAACUGCGAAAAGAAACGGUUCAAUCUCCCCACCAAAGCCUAGCGCCACCAUUAAAGGGACCAAGUCCAAAAAGAGCAAGUCCAGGCCGAAAGAGGUUGAAUUACCCUUAGACAAGAACGACAAGCUCAUUGAGAAACUGAAGAGCUACGUUACGAUGUCUGGUCACAAAAUCCAGAACUACAAAACUUUUUGGGAAGACUGCCCCACAAGACAGAUGAAAAUCAACAAACUGAAAAAAUUUCUGAUAGAGCAUGGAGUGAAAGUUGAAGGAAGAUGGAGUUAUAAAAAGGUGAAAAAAGCAAUAAAGAAAAAAAAACUUGCUGAUGAAGUUGCAGAAUUAAACUGCGAUGUCAUCAUAUCAAAGGGUCGUUCUCUACGAACCAGACGGUCAUUCUGGGAUCUGUCAGAGCCAGAGGACAGGAGCCUCAACUCUUCUAGUCCCCCAGCCUCAGAACAAAGGUUAAUGAAAGGUAGCGGAUCCAUGAAGCAAGGGAAAGCAAUCUAUAUUGAUUCUGACUCCGAGUCUGAUAAGCAAGUCAAACGUAAACUUUUUGCAGGAGGGAACAAUUCUAAUCAGUCGGAAGAAGAGGCUGAAUCUGAGGAAGUAUCAAUCAAAAGAGAUACCGAAACAGAAAUAGAAUCAGCACGAGAGGGGGACGAAAAAUUAAAGUCUACCAAGAAAACCAAAGGAAGGAACAAAUCACUCGAAUGCUCAACUCCAAAAUCGCAGAUCAAGAAAAAGUCAGAUGAAAGUGAGAAAAUGGAAUCGAAAGGUUCUGUAACCUGCUUGAAUAAAAAGAUCAAGUCAAAUAUACCUAAGAAACUUGAAGACUCAGCCUCAGAUUUUGAUUCAGGAUCAGAAUCUCGGAAGAAGUCUCAGGAAAAAGUCAGGUGA